GACGAACGCUGGCGGCGUGCUUAACACAUGCAAGUCGAACGGAAAGGCCCUGCUUUUGUGGGGUGCUCGAGUGGCGAACGGGUGAGUAACACGGGAGUAACCUGCCCUUGACUUUGGGAUAACUUCAGGAAACUGGGGCUAAUACCGGAUAGGAGCUCCUGCUGCAUGGUGGGGGGUGGAAAGUUUCGGCGGUUGGGGAUGGACUCGCGGCUUAUCAGCUUGUUGGUGGGGUAGUGGCUUACCAAGGCUUGGACGGGUAGCCGGCCUGAGAGGGUGACGGGCCACAUUGGGACUGAGAUACGGCACAGACUACUACGGGAGGCAGCAGUGGGGAAUAUUGCACAAUGGGCGGAAGCCUGAUGCAGUAACGCCGCGUGCGGGAUGACGGCCUUCGGGUUGUAAACCGCUUUCGCCUGUGACGAAGCGUGAGUGACGGUAAUGGGUAAAGAAGCACCGGCUAACUACGUG
RNAcentral lists this ribosomal RNA (468 nucleotides) under uncultured bacterium. RNAcentral's name for it is "partial 16S ribosomal RNA". It matches the Rfam family "Bacterial small subunit ribosomal RNA", at positions 28 to 507 of the family's 1533-position model. The record is from RNAcentral.